RNAcentral lists this ribosomal RNA (689 nucleotides) under uncultured bacterium. Its description in RNAcentral is "bacterial SSU rRNA". It matches the Rfam family "Bacterial small subunit ribosomal RNA", at positions 143 to 848 of the family's 1533-position model. The record is from RNAcentral.
ACAACAGUUGGAAACGACUGCUAAUACCGCAUAAGCCCACGGGUCGGCAUCGACCAGAGGGAAAAGGAGCAAUCCGCUUUGAGAUGGCCUCGCGUCCGAUUAGCUAGUUGGUGAGGUAAUGGCCCACCAAGGCAACGAUCGGUAGCCGGACUGAGAGGUUGAACGGCCACAUUGGGACUGAGACACGGCCCAGACUCCUACGGGAGGCAGCAGUGGGGAAUAUUGCACAAUGGGGGAAACCCUGAUGCAGCGACGCCGCGUGGAGGAAGAAGGUCUUCGGAUUGUAAACUCCUGUUGUUGAGGAAGAUAAUGACGGUACUCAACAAGGAAGUGACGGCUAACUACGUGCCAGCAGCCGCGGUAAAACGUAGGUCACAAGCGUUGUCCGGAAUUACUGGGUGUAAAGGGAGCGCAGGCGGGAAGACAAGUUGGAAGUGAAAUCCAUGGGCUCAACCCAUGAACUGCUUUCAAAACUGUUUUUCUUGAGUAGUGCAGAGGUAGGCGGAAUUCCCGGUGUAGCGGUGGAAUGCGUAGAUAUCGGGAGGAACACCAGUGGCGAAGGCGGCCUACUGGGCACCAACUGACGCUGAGGCUCGAAAGUGUGGGUAGCAAACAGGAUUAGAUACCCUGGUAGUCCACACCGUAAACGAUGAUUACUAGGUGUUGGAGGAUUGACCCCUUCAGUGCCG